CUUCAGCAACACCUCUACAGGAAAUAGAGACUCUGUUCCUGGUUCCCAUGGCUACGAGUGGUUAGUUAGUGAGACGGGCGGAGACAGACCCUCCUCUCUGCUCUGCUACAGUCUUUAAUGAGGUCCCUUUAACACAAGAGGUCCCCUGUGGUCCCGUGACCCAAACCACAGAAUACUGCUUAGCGUUAACUAUGGUGACAGGUUCUCUGAUCGUUUGGUAGAACCCGUCUCGUCUCCUCUGGGUCUCAACCUAAAAACAUUUCAAUUGUUGACUUGUGCCAAGGUCCUCCUCUGUUACCCAGAACACACUGCUUCACCCAGACAGCGUCCCAACAGUCUAAAGCAGCUCGUCUUCUCCUCCUUCUCAUCUGAAAGUGUCCUGGUCACCCUGAAAGCUAAUUCCCUCAUCAUAUAUACUCUUUAUACCCGCUUUCACUUGUCCUGUGUUUUUCCUGCGCAGACGAAGGAGGGGUGAGGAGGCGAGAGGAAGAGAAGGGAGGAAGCAUCUUCAGACUAUUGAGAUUCAGCCGGCCUGAAUUCCCUCCAUUAUUCAAACAAUUCAGUUAGCGCUCUUGACAGAUAGCAUUUAGCCAACUGUUAGCUCUAGACAAUUAGCUAACCGUUAGCUCUAGACAAUUAGCUAACCGUUAUCUCUAGACAAUUAGCUAGCUAACCGUUAGCUCUAGACAGACAGCUAGCUAACCGUUAGCUCUAGACAGACAGCUAGCUAACCGUUAGCUCUAGACAGACAGCUAGCUAACCGUUAGCUCUAGACAGACAUUUAGCUAACCGUUAGCUCUAGACAGACAGCUAGCUAACCGUUAGCUCUAGACAGAGUUAGCCAACCGUUAGCUCUAGACAGAGUUAGCCAACCGUUAGCUCUUGACAGAUAGCAUUUAGCUAACCGUUAGCUCUAGACAGAUAGCAUUUAGCUAACCACGGACAGCUAGCUAACCGUUAGCUCUAG
This 967-nucleotide long non-coding RNA is filed under the name Salmo salar (Atlantic salmon). Its description in RNAcentral is "lncRNA (ENSSSAG00000095887.1)". Lineage: Eukaryota; Metazoa; Chordata; Actinopteri; Salmoniformes; Salmonidae. The record is from RNAcentral.